GUUCUAUAAAAACGACAGAAUUAUUUAUAAAAAUUAAUCAUUGUCUAAGUGUAUUCUGCAGGUUCUCUCUAUAUUUAUAAUUUAUAAUAUCAUGAAAGUAAGUUGGUAAACUUAAAAAAACUAUUAUAUUAUCAAUAACUAUAAUAUGAAUAAGUAAUUUAAAAUUUUUAACACUCAGUACUUCUGUAAAACUUCUCAAGAAAACUACAGGUAUCUAAUCCUCCGUUGUGCCGCCAAAUGUAAUAUAAAAAAUAUUAUUGAGUAUAUUUUUAUUGAGUUUUCCCUGAAAUAGAAACUAUUGUGUUGAAUUAUAUUAUCUGUUAUAUAACGUAGCCAGAAAAUGUCUACUUGGGGAACCAAUAAUUUAUGAAAUACUUAUAGAGGGUUUCUCCUCCACUCACCCUUAGGUGGUAUACCAUACACAAAUCUUAUCAAUUUAUAAUUUACUUUUGAUUGGUAGUUUGUUAAAAAAUUGUUUUUUACAACAAGUUUACCCAUUACAAUAAUAAAAAAAAAGUACCCGAUUAAAAAAAAAAAAAAAAAUAGAGAAUUACCCGUAUCUUCAAUUUUGGAAUACAUUUUUUAUACUAUGAAAAA
Cinara cedri is the source of this 597-nucleotide non-coding RNA. The record is from the annotation of a GenBank genome assembly. Lineage: Eukaryota; Metazoa; Arthropoda; Insecta; Hemiptera; Aphididae.